GCUAUCAGGCGUCGAGCGGCGGACGGGUGAGUAAUACUUAGGAAUCUACCUAGUAGUGGGGGAUAGCACGGGGAAACUCGUAUUAAUACCGCAUACGACCUACGGGAGAAAGGGGGCAGUUUACUGCUCUCGCUAUUAGAUGAGCCUAAGUCGGAUUAGCUAGAUGGUGGGGUAAAGGCCUACCAUGGCGACGAUCUGUAGCUGGUCUGAGAGGAUGAUCAGCCACACCGGGACUGAGACACGGCCCGGACUCCUACGGGAGGCAGCAGUGGGGAAUAUUGGACAAUGGGGGAAACCCUGAUCCAGCCAUGCCGCGUGUGUGAAGAAGGCCUUUUGGUUGUAAAGCACUUUAAGCAGUGAAGAAGACUCCGUGGUUAAUACCCACGGACGAUGACAUUAGCUGCAGAAUAAGCACCGGCUAACUCUGUGCCAGCAGCCGCGGUAAUACAGAGGGUGCAAGCGUUAAUCGGAAUUACUGGGCGUAAAGGGAGCGUAGGUGGCUCGAUAAGUCAGAUGUGAAAUCCCCGGGCUCAACCUGGGAACUGCAUCUGAUACUGUUGAGCUAGAGUAUGUGAGAGGAAGGUAGAAUUC
RNAcentral lists this ribosomal RNA (591 nucleotides) under Psychrobacter sp. Air233. RNAcentral's name for it is "bacterial SSU rRNA". It matches the Rfam family "Bacterial small subunit ribosomal RNA", at positions 76 to 669 of the family's 1533-position model. Lineage: Bacteria; Pseudomonadati; Pseudomonadota; Gammaproteobacteria; Moraxellales; Moraxellaceae. The record is from RNAcentral.